Molecule: ribosomal RNA, 445 nt
Filed under: Rothisilpha latreilleae
Lineage: Eukaryota; Metazoa; Arthropoda; Insecta; Blattodea; Blattidae
Description: partial large subunit ribosomal RNA
Source: RNAcentral
CUCUUCUUGUUUAAAUUUAUGAAGUAUAACCUGCCCACUGAAAUAUAUUAUUGAAGGGCCGCGGUAUUUUGACCGUGCAAAGGUAGCAUAAUCAUUAGUCUUUUAAUUGGAGACUGGAAUGAAUGGUUGGACGAGGAAUAUACUGUUUCUUAAUAAUGGUUAUUUGAAUUUAAAUUUUAAGUUAAAAUUCUUAAAUUUUAUUAUGGGACGAGAAGACCCUAUAGAGUUUAAUAAAUUUUGUUGUUGUUUUGUUUGGUAUAGUUUUAAUUACUUUAAAAUUUGUUUUGUUGGGGUGAUGGGAAUUAUGGAAUUAAUAAACUCUUUCUUUUAUUAAUAUAUUUAUUUGUAAUUUUAUGAUCCAUUUUUGUUGAUUAUAAGACUAAAUUACCUUAGGGAUAACAGCGUAAUCUUUUUUGAGAGUUCUUAUCGAUAAAAGGGUUUGCGA